Small RNA from Firmicutes bacterium CAG:95, 166 nucleotides. It matches the Rfam family "Clostridiales-1 RNA". Lineage: Bacteria; Bacillati; Bacillota. The record is from Rfam.
GUAAGGUAGACUGCCAAGCAUAAGUACCGAUCAUGCCCGCAUGAGGAGGUACUUAUAUUUGGCAGUCAGGAAACAUGAGAAAGGAGCGAUUUUCAAAGAAAAUCAGCGGAUUUCGAAUGCUUUCAGGAUUGCGGGAGUACGAAGUACGGAGCAAUCCGUACCUUAC